Leersia perrieri is the source of this 108-nucleotide small nucleolar RNA. It matches the Rfam family "Small nucleolar RNA Z173". Rfam says of the family: Z173 is a member of the C/D class of snoRNA which contain the C (UGAUGA) and D (CUGA) box motifs. Lineage: Eukaryota; Viridiplantae; Streptophyta; Magnoliopsida; Poales; Poaceae. The record is from Rfam.
GCAGUGCCGAUGAUGAGUUUACAAAAUGUACUAGGUUGAAUCCUGAUCGAAGAACCUCUCUGGUUCUGAACGAUGACCACCCAUGUUCCUCUCGAUUUGCGGCUCAAA